UGAGUUUGAUCCUGGCUCAGAUUGAACGCUGGCGGCAUGCCUUACACAUGCAAGUCGAACGGCAGCACGGGUGCUUGCACCUGGUGGCGAGUGGCGAACGGGUGAGUAAUACAUCGGAACAUGUCCUGUAGUGGGGGAUAGCCCGGCGAAAGCCGGAUUAAUACCGCAUACGGUCUACGGAUGAAAGCGGGGGACCUUCGGGCCUCGCGCUAUAGGGUUGGCCGAUGGCUGAUUAGCUAGUUGGUGGGGUAAAGGCCUACCAAGGCGACGAUCAGUAGCUGGUCUGAGAGGACGACCAGCCACGCUGGGACUGAGACACGGCCCAGACUCCUACGGGAGGCAGCAGUGGGGAAUUUUGGACAAUGGGCGAAAGCCUGAUCCAGCAAUGCCGCGUGUGUGAAGAAGGCCUUCGGGUUGUAAAGCACUUUUGUCCGGAAAGAAAUCCUUGGCUCUAAUACAGUCGGGGGAUGACGGUACCGGAAGAAUAAGCACCGGCUAACUACGUGCCAGCAGCCGCGGUAAUACGUAGGGUGCGAGCGUUAAUCGGAAUUACUGGGCGUAAACCGUGCGCAGGCGGUUUGCUAAGACCGAUGUGAAAUCCCCGGGCUCAACCUGGGAACUGCAUUGGUGACUGGCAGGCUAAAUAAUGGCAGAAGGGGGUAAAAUUCCCCGUGUACCAUUGAAAUGCGUAAAGAUGUGGAAGGAUACCCAUGGCAAAAGGCCCCCCCCUGGGCCAAUACUGACCCUCCUGCACAAAAACCUGGGGAACCAACAGGAUUAGAUACCCUGGUAGUCCACGCCCUAAACGAUGUCAACUAGUGUUUGGGGAUUCAUUUCCUUAGUAACGUAGCUAACGCGUGAAGUUGACCGCCUGGGGAGUACGGUCGCAAGAUUAAAACUCAAAGGAAUUGACGGGGACCCGCACAAGCGGUGGAUGAUGUGGAUUAAUUCGAUGCAACGCGAAAAACCUUACCUACCCUUGACAUGGUCGGAAUCCUGCUGAGAGGCGGGAGUGCUCGAAAGAGAACCGGCGCACAGGUGCUGCAUGGCUGUCGUCAGCUCGUGUCGUGAGAUGUUGGGUUAAGUCCCGCAACGAGCGCAACCCUUGUCCUUAGUUGCUACGCAAGAGCACUCUAAGGAGACUGCCGGUGACAAACCGGAGGAAGGUGGGGAUGACGUCAAGUCCUCAUGGCCCUUAUGGGUAGGGCUUCACACGUCAUACAAUGGUCGGAACAGAGGGUUGCCAACCCGCGAGGGGGAGCUAAUCCCAGAAAACCGAUCGUAGUCCGGAUUGCACUCUGCAACUCGAGUGCAUGAAGCUGGAAUCGCUAGUAAUCGCGGAUCAGCAUGCCGCGGUGAAUACGUUCCCGGGUCUUGUACACACCGCCCGUCACACCAUGGGAGUGGGUUUUACCAGAAGUGGCUAGUCUAACCGCAAGGAGGACGGUCACCACGGUAGGAUUCAUGACUGGGGUGAAGUCGUAACAAGGUA
RNAcentral lists this ribosomal RNA (1492 nucleotides) under uncultured beta proteobacterium. Its description in RNAcentral is "16S ribosomal RNA". It matches the Rfam family "Bacterial small subunit ribosomal RNA". Lineage: Bacteria; Pseudomonadati; Pseudomonadota; Betaproteobacteria. The record is from RNAcentral.